AUUUUGUGACAUGCGCAGAGCAUCUCGCAAUUCCCUCUGAAUUCUGAAUUACGAGCGGGCCUCAUUUGACGCCGCACCGCAUCCCGAGCUGGUCGCUUCAGAGUUACGCAAUCGUCCACUGUUCUACAGUAUCCCUGGCUUCUAAAAUGACUGUGCUCAAAAUUACAUCAGAUCUAAAUCGAUUGGAUGAUAAUAUGAGAAUUCAAAGAUUAAUAAGAAUAAAGAAAAUCAGGAAGUACGGCUGAGAACAUUCUAUUGAAGUGUUAGGAAUCUCUUAGGAGGUAUACAUUUUGUUCAAGAACUGUGCGAUGUUUCGUAACCGGUAUAUUGCCGCCAUCUUGUGAUUGAAGAAUCAAAAUGGCGCACCAAACAGUGUUCGAUGUUUUAUAGAAAUCAAAUUAUAUCGCAAAAUUUAGUCCGGUUACGAAAUAUUAAGACUUUAAGACAAUUAUGGUGAAUUUUAUUGUGUACUUUAUUGUGUUACUAUUUGCUAAACAUAGGCAUUGUUUGUUUAACGUUGGUUCGAUUAAUUACAGUAAUUCGUGACCUUAUUUUUGAUGAUCCUAAAAGUGAAUCAUUUAGAGACUUGAAAAUUUAGUGAACAGUGUCUGUGUUUAACAUUGUUACUUAUGCUGCGCGAUCAAUUUUGUCUUGUUACAAAAUUGAUAAAUGUUUUAUGUAUGUAUUUUUUUAACUGAUGUAUUUUUUGUGUAUCUGUUAUGUUACAUGAAUUCGCCUUAGCAUUUGCAUUGACAGACGUUGACACAUGUGAGUAUAUUCUUGGUUUGUU
This is a long non-coding RNA of Bombyx mandarina (wild silkworm), 790 nucleotides long. RefSeq lists it as uncharacterized. The record is from RefSeq and is a predicted model, not a curated record. NCBI's taxonomy places the organism in Eukaryota, Metazoa, Arthropoda, Insecta, Lepidoptera, Bombycidae.